GCACGUUAUGGUGGGCACUCUAAGGAGACUGCCGGUGACAAACCGGAGGAAGGUGGGGAUGACGUCAAGUCAUCAUGGCCCUUACGGCCUGGGCUACACACGUGCUACAAUGGUCGGUACAAAGGGUUGCCAAGCCGCGAGGUGGAGCUAAUCCCAUAAAACCGAUCGUAGUCCGGAUCGCAGUCUGCAACUCGACUGUGUGAAGUCGGAAUCGCUAGUAAUCGUGAAUCAGAAUGUCACGGUGAAUACGUUCCGGGCCUU
RNAcentral lists this ribosomal RNA (261 nucleotides) under uncultured Pseudomonas sp. RNAcentral's name for it is "partial 16S ribosomal RNA". It matches the Rfam family "Bacterial small subunit ribosomal RNA", at positions 1121 to 1382 of the family's 1533-position model. The record is from RNAcentral. Lineage: Bacteria; Pseudomonadati; Pseudomonadota; Gammaproteobacteria; Pseudomonadales; Pseudomonadaceae.